AUGUGGAAAUUAUAUUACCAAUUUAAAAUGAAUUUCAGACGACUUAUAUCAGAUCGUGCAAAUGUAAUAACAAAUGAAAGUAAUAAACCAAGUGAUUGCGACUUAAGUGAUUGCGACUUAAGUGGUGGCGACUUAAGUGGUGGCGAUUUAAGUGGUGGCGACUUAAGUGGUGGCGAAUCAAAUAAAAGCAUAAUAAACAAUACAAAUAUAAACAAUACAAAUAUAAACAAUACAAAUAUGAACAAUACAAAUAUAAACAAUAUAAAUAUAAAUAAUGUAAAUAUAAAUAAUAUAAAUAUAAAUAAUAUAAAUAUAAAUAAUGUAAAUAGUAAAAAAACAAAAAAACAAAUUAAAGAACAAAAAAAUACUUAUUGUUAUAACAUUUUUACAUAUACACAUGACUGGAAUGUUAAAACUAAUAUUAUGAAUAUUUAUUUAAGUGAUUUGAUAGUUAAACAGUUUAUAACUGAUGAAAUUGACAUUGUCCAAGUAGUAAAAUAUUUAGAUUCUAAUUUGACUAAUAUACCUUUACACGUGUUUAACAAAAUUAUUGUUUUCAUUCUGCGUGCAAGCGAUCCAUAUGGCAGUCAACGUAUAUUAAGUGGGACCACAAGAAGUGACGGGCGAUUAAAAAGGUUAGAUAAAAAUGAGUCGGACGAAACUACGUCGGAUGGCACUAAUUCGGAUGGCACUGACUCGGGAGCCAUUAUCUCAGACGACACUAAUUUAGACGACAUUAACUCCGAGUCAUGUUUAAGUGCAAAUUCUACUACUAACUCACGUUCAAACUCGACUACACAUUCGAAGGUACUACUCACCAUUUAUAAAAAAAUUAUCAGUCACUACAAAAAAAUAAUGAAAGAAUUGCUAAUUAAAAACAAAACCAGCUCAAAAAAUGUUACUUCAUUCGCCUACAUCUUAAAAAUCAUUAUUUUGCUUCUUAUAACAAAUCAUAGAAAUAGUAAAAUUUGUAAAAAAAUAUAUAAAAAUAAAUAUUUCUUUUUGUGUCAUAUAUAUGCAUUUUUUUUUAUAAUGAUGAAAUUAUUAAAGCUUUGGCCAUAAGUUUAAGUUUUUAUCUAAUUUUUGAUCAAAAUAUAUUAUUACUAAAUAAAUACAGAUUGUUUUUAGAACCA
This 1133-nucleotide long non-coding RNA is filed under the name Piliocolobus tephrosceles (Ugandan red Colobus). RNAcentral's name for it is "lncRNA (ENSPTEG00000000144.1)". The record is from RNAcentral. Lineage: Eukaryota; Metazoa; Chordata; Mammalia; Primates; Cercopithecidae.